CGAACAGGACCGUGAAACGACUCUACGCCGAUGAUAGUGCGGAUUCCCGUGUGAAAGUAGGUAAUCGUCAGGC
RNAcentral lists this ribosomal RNA (73 nucleotides) under Burkholderia cenocepacia. RNAcentral also lists the same sequence under 1 other name. The record is from RNAcentral. Lineage: Bacteria; Pseudomonadati; Pseudomonadota; Betaproteobacteria; Burkholderiales; Burkholderiaceae.